Molecule: ribosomal RNA, 497 nt
Filed under: uncultured bacterium
Lineage: Bacteria
Description: partial 16S ribosomal RNA
Rfam family: Bacterial small subunit ribosomal RNA
Source: RNAcentral
GAUGAACGCUGGCGGCGUGCCUAAUACAUGCAAGUCGAGCGAACGGACGAGAAGCUUGCUUCUCUGAUGUUAGCGGCGGACGGGUGAGUAACACGUGGAUAACCUACCUAUAAGACUGGGAUAACUUCGGGAAACCGGAGCUAAUACCGGAUAAUAUUUUGAACCGCAUGGUUCAAAAGUGAAAGACGGUCUUGCUGUCACUUAUAGAUGGAUCCGCGCUGCGUUAGCUAGUUGGUAAGGUAACGGCUUACCAAGGCAACGAUGCAUAGCCGACCUGAGAGGGUGAUCGGCCACACUGGAACUGAGACACGGUCCAGACUCCUACGGGAGGCAGCAGUAGGGAAUCUUCCGCAAUGGGCGAAAGCCUGACGGAGCAACGCUGCGUGAGUGAUGAAGGUCUUCGGAUCGUAAAACUCUGUUAUUAGGGAAGAACAUAUGUGUAAGUAACUGUGCACAUCUUGACGGUACCUAAUCAGAAAGCCACGGCUAACUACGUG